Molecule: ribosomal RNA, 430 nt
Filed under: uncultured eukaryote
Lineage: Eukaryota
Description: bacterial SSU rRNA
Rfam family: Eukaryotic small subunit ribosomal RNA
Source: RNAcentral
CAAUAGCGUAUACUAACGUUGUUGACAGUUAAAAGCUCGUAGUUGGAUUUCUGUGUUGGUGAGGCGGCCGGCCAUUCGUGGUUGUAGCUAGUUAUCACCGGCGCAUCUUGUCACAAGCCACGCUGGCCUUAACUGGUUGGCGUUGGGGACUGACUCGUUUACUUUGAGAAAAUUAGAGUGUUCAAAGCAGGCUAUCGCCUUGAAUAUGUUAGCAUGGAAUAAUGAUAUAGGACUUUGGUUCUAUUUUGUUGGUUGUUCGAGAACCGAAGUAAUGAUUGAUAGGGACAGUUGGGGGCAUCAGUAUUCUGAAGCGAGAGGUGAAAUUACUUGGACCCUUCGGAAGACUAAACAACUAGCGAAGACAUUGUCCUAGGAUGUUCUCUUAAUUCAAGAACGAAAGUUAGGGGAGUCGAAGACGAUUAGAUACCGU